AGUCUGCUUAUAACACACAAACAAUUAUAAUUUGUAACGUCUUUAUUGAACACACCGUGUAAACACUGAUACGUUCAGACAAGAGUGCUCUGAAAUCCGUGUAGAUAGUAGGCUGGACACAUUACAUUUUUAACAACGUUUUAACAACGUUCUUUUCUGAUAAAAACGAGUUCUUUGCAUCAGCCGUGGAGCCCAGUUUCAUAAUUUGACCAUAUUUCCCAGCUGCUUGUGGUCGUUUUGAAGUAAUUGCGAAAUAACAGGCCUUUAUUUUAGUGCAUUUUACACCAUGCCAGCUCCUAUUAGUUCUAUUGACCACAAUGGUACCAACUCGCCUUCCGAACAUUCUAUUCCCAGCUUUUUGUUCAACGUCACAAUGCCUGCUUCGCUAUUGUUGGCAAUGAGACCUGCUCACAUUGUUGUAUAGUUACAUUUUAAACAACUAAAAUAUUAUUGGAACUCUGCGGUCUUCCCAUUGUUUCCUAUGUUGGAAAUAUGGGCAUGUCUGCUAAUUUCGCCAAAUAUCUCGCAAUGUGUAUAUUUUGAUUUUUUUCAAGUCAGGUGUAACCGAUGUAAAAUGGCUAGCUAGUCAGCGGGGUGCGCGCUAAUAGCGUUUCGAUUGAGACCUUUGAGACCUUUUAUUUUUUAUUUAUUUAUUUCACCAUUAUUUAACCAGGUAGGCAAGUUGAGAACAAGUUCUCAUUUACAACUGCGACCUGGCCAAGAUAAAGCAAAGCAGUUCGACACAUAUAACAACACAGAGUUACACAUGGAGUAAAACAAACAUACAGUCAAUAAUACAGUAGAAAAAUAAGUCUAUAUACAAUGUGAGCAAAUGAGGUGAGAUACAUUUACAUUUUAGUCAUUUAGCAGACGCUCUUAUCCAGAGCGACUUACAGAGAUAAGGGAGGUAAAGGCAAUAAAUAGGCCAUGGUGGCGAAGUAAAUACAAUAUAGCAAUUAAAACACUGGAAUGGUAGAUUUGACAGUAGAUGAGUGUGCAAAGUAGAAAUACUGGGGUGCAAAGGAGCUAAAUAAAUAUAUACAGUAGGGGAAGGUGUAGUUGUUUGGGCUAUUUAUAGAUGGGAUAUGUACAAGUGCAGUGAUCUGUGAGCUGCUCUGACAGCUGGUGCUUAAAGCUAGUGUGGGAGAUAAGUGUUUCCAGUUUCAGAUAUUUUUGUAGUUCGUUCCAGUCAUUGGCAGCAGAGAACUGGAAGGAGUGGUGGCCAAAGGAGGAAUUGGCUACCUUGAAUUUCUACCUUGAAGUAGAGCCGUGGCUUUCGUGGAGCGAUGGGUAAUACUGCUUCGAGGGUGGCUGUUGUCAAUGUGUGCAGAGGGUCCCUGGGGCGAGGAGAGGGACGGAAGCAAACCAUUUUAAUCAGGAGAAUCUCCUCUUUGUAAUCAUGUAAGUCUGGGCAGCGAGCUCGCUAGAUCAGAAAUAGUCUGAAGUUUUUUUAUUUUUUCCCUAAUUUUUCAUUACGCAGACAUAAGCACAGUUGACACAAUCGAGGUGCGGAUGUUUACUUUCUACACAAGUUUUUUUUCUUCCAGUUUCGUCCGACGAACAGAUUGUAGUGGUAAAAUAAAAAGGGAUACAUUUUUUUAUGGAAUUCUAAGCAUCACUCCAGUCAAAACAGGCUCUGCGAACGUUCGAUUCCAUUAAUUUGCUAUGGGCUCGCGCUAGUGUUCCAGUUUAGCCAACGUUCUUAAGCCGUUUUUCAGCCUCGGUGAAUUUUGACUCGUUGCUGGACAAUUUAUGAAAGCACCCGAAUGUCCAUUGAGAAAGCACAACGACUAUACCAUUUAGCUAAGCAUGACAAGAAUAAUCAAGUCAAUAAACAUUGGGUAGUUAGAUAGCCUAUAGUUAAUAUACUGGCCAGUUUGAUGUAUAACUACUGUUAGGUAGCUAGCUAACAUACCAGUACAUACUGCUGUAAUGAUAUGCUAUGUGGUUCGUAAGGACAGCGUAGCUAACAAAUUGCCAGCCAACAUAAAAUGUAAGGUAAGUUAUUUGAAAAGUCAUUACUUUUUUACAUUGAGUAGCAAGCUACCCCUUGGUCUUUAGGGCAAAUCUGGUCUAGGAGGGGGGUUUUCACACCUAGCUCGGCUAGUAGACUAUUCAUUAGUGAAGGUUGAAUAGUCUAUUGUUCAGCUAUUAGCCCCCCUCCACGCGUCAUCAUUCUGCUCCUGAGUGGCUCGCUUGUGGGUGUGCUGGCAGGAUAUGGCAGCAAUUUUGGUUGUGCGUCAAUAAUUCUGCAUACAGUAGCACGUUUGCAGAAUUGUUACAUGCUGUGGAGGUACAUUUGUGUCUUUUUGUCGAGAGCAAAACUUUUUUUUUUUAAAUCAAAAAUAAUUGUUCUGAAAGUAACUUUUUUCCGACACAAAGGAAGUCAAAGCGGACACCUACGAGAUGGCAUCUCUAAGCAGCACUGGGCUGUAUUGACAUAUCCUAAAAAUGACUUCUGCUGCUUUAGAUUGAACGGUCAUAUUUCAGGUAUUGUUUUCAUAUCUAUAAAAAUAAGCUGUUUUCUUUACUUUCAGAGAGCGAGCUGAUCAAGGGGUCGAAAAUGUAGAUAUUGCCAGAUGUUCACUGUCCGAGGAUCAGGCCGUGGAAGCUUUUUUGCUGGCAAAGUGUCCAUAACCAGAGGUUAUACCAGCUGUUUUGGUGAACCCCUCCCGCCUCUGAACUGGCUGACACAGAGGCCACAGCAUGUCACUUGGUCAGGUCAACAGGAAGCAUUAUUAAAGAGAUGCUUUACAUUGAAAUACAGACAGAGAUGUAGUAGUCCCAGAGUGACUGACCUUGUUAGAAUAAAACAAAACAAGGCUUAGUCAUGCACUCUCUCUAUCCAUCAGUCACUCGUCUGCAGGUAUGUUUUGAUGUGAGAGAGGAAGCCAGUCCCAUCAUCGCCACCUCACCCGCUCUUAAGAUAACCUUCGGGCCAACUGGGGGCCCAAGGCUGGUUAGGAGACACAGCUGAGAGAAUAUUAGGGUAGCACUGUAAUUCAUUAAUCAUAUGCUGUCUGCUGCUGUUCUAACCUCUUUCCCUUUCUGUCUUCUACACCUUUCUCCCCACCUCAUCUUUCUUCCUCAUUUUAUAAUGUGCAUUGAAGUACAGAUUGAACUUGUAUUUAUAAUACUACAAUUAUCAU
This 3149-nucleotide long non-coding RNA is filed under the name Salmo salar (Atlantic salmon). RNAcentral's name for it is "lncRNA (ENSSSAG00000111396.1)". Lineage: Eukaryota; Metazoa; Chordata; Actinopteri; Salmoniformes; Salmonidae. The record is from RNAcentral.